This 76-nucleotide transfer RNA is filed under the name Proschkinia sp. SZCZR1824. RNAcentral describes it as "tRNA-His". It matches the Rfam family "tRNA". Rfam says of the family: Transfer RNA (tRNA) molecules are approximately 80 nucleotides in length. Their secondary structure includes four short double-helical elements and three loops (D, anti-codon, and T loops). The record is from RNAcentral. Lineage: Eukaryota; Bacillariophyta; Bacillariophyceae; Naviculales; Stauroneidaceae.
GGCGUAUAUAACUCAGUUGGGCAGAGUGUUAGGGUGUGGUCCUAAAAGUCAUAGGUUCGAGUCCUGUUAUUCGCCA